RNAcentral lists this long non-coding RNA (1103 nucleotides) under Phasianus colchicus (ring-necked pheasant). RNAcentral describes it as "lncRNA (ENSPCLG00000010881.1)". The record is from RNAcentral. Lineage: Eukaryota; Metazoa; Chordata; Aves; Galliformes; Phasianidae.
AGAUGGGUGGGUGCAAGGGAGGAGAAGGAGACAUCAGGUGGCGGCAAUCAACAGAAAAGAUCGACUUAAUGUGAUCAGCCCUCAUGUUGUUCUUGUCAGCAUCUUGGGAGUGUGCUUGAUCUAAUUAAAUCCUUUGGUCUCUAAAGCACCCAGCUGAGGUCUGCAUCCCAUCAGCAGUUGCUGGCAGCAUUGCUUGCAGGUCCGGGCAGGCAGAGAAACUUGAAGUUCCCCACAUCAUUACUCUUGUCCAGGCUCAGUGCACAGAACAUCUUGGGUGUCCAGCAGUGCAAACUUCAGCCAAUGCGACAGCGAAAGUUGGACGUUUCAGUCCUUCUGAAGCAGAAAGCUCACAUCUUUAUCCAUUUCCAUAUGAAAGAUCAUUAGUGACAUACCCAAAGCUAGAGGUGGUUUUGACAACAUGACCCUCUUCGUUCUAGUUCCCUGAUCCAAGACCUCAGGGCAACAUGGAGUCACAGCCUUGGUGCUGGAAUACAUCUGAUUCAUGGUGAGACUUCCAAGCAUUAGCCAUUGCAUAGAUUCAUUGGAUCAUAGUGUCAUAAAGGUUGGAAGAGACCUCUCGGAUAGUCAAGUCUGACCACCAGCCCAUCCCCACCUGCCUGCUGGGCCAUGUUCCUGAGAGGCAGGUUGCUUCUAGCUCUUUUGGCAAUGUAAAGCUCUUGAUGUUCUCUGGCUUGCUAAGCUUAUACAGGUUUUUUUGUAAGAAAAGUAGAAUUUUUUUUUUUAUUAUUUUUUUUUUUUUUUGAUGCUGUAUUGCAUUUCUUGUGUUACAAUAGCUUUUCCUUGCCGUAGCCAUGGGUUUUGUUAAUUACUGGCUUGGUGUCUAAAUUUGACUCUGAAUUGUUGUAUCUUCAUUGUCUGAAGUGUUUCCACAUGAUCUAACAUGAGAUAACUGUUCCACAUGAGAUAACUGGCUGUUAUCUCAGAGUGCAUGUAUAGUCAGGAGAGAACUCAUUUAGGGCACAGGGAAACAGCAAAAUAAUAGUUUCUUCCCAGAAAGAAAAAAAAAAAAAAAAAAAAGCCUUGUGCUAACCACAAGUGGGAAGGCAUUGCAGAUGAAUAAACACAGAUUUUACCCUGCUACA